AAAUAAAACAAAAAGUAAAUAUCUCUGAGGUUACGAGUUAAUCUUGCACUAAACAGAAUUGUAUUUCUUUAAUGAUAUUAGAUGCUUGUAAUUAGCCCUGGGACAUAGCUUAUCUCCAUUUGAGCAAGAUCUAUAUCCUUAGAUCAUAGCUUGUCCCUUCGGAUAUAAACUAUUUUAGGGCUUCAUCUCACAAGUAAAGAAAAAAUAAUAGAUCAAAGCUAGAAACUAUCUGUCUUUCCUCGACAUGCCUUGUAUCCAU
This 259-nucleotide long non-coding RNA is filed under the name Elaeis guineensis (African oil palm). Its description in RNAcentral is "long non-coding RNA (EGUI_LNC040874)". Lineage: Eukaryota; Viridiplantae; Streptophyta; Magnoliopsida; Arecales; Arecaceae. The record is from RNAcentral.